UAGCAUAUUUGAAACUUGCACAUGCAUCUUGCAUUCAGUAAUUUGGAAUUCUCUGCUUUUUCAAUGUUGUGUUCUAGUUUUAGGUCCACCAUUGCUGCAAUUAGCAUAUAUUUUAUGAUUUUGUUUAAUUUGUUUUGCACUUUUGAAUGGAGCUCUCAGAUUCUUACUGCAAUGGCGUUCAAGCUUUUUGCUCAAGAGAAUGUUGAUGUUGCAGUUAUUGAGGUUAAUCAGUUCUCCCUUAACUUCUUCUGAGCAAUUCGAUGCUAUAUCCUUUGUUGGAUGAUUUCCCAUCCCAUGAUGAUGUUUCUUUUCAUUGUAUAUAGUUCUUGUUAUGAAUUCAAAUAUGUAUUUUGAGUUUCUUUUCCUUAACAAGAAUUGCAAUAGGGCUGUAUUUAGUGAGUACUCUUUAUUUUCAAGUAACAGGCUGGACUGGGGGGAGCACGGGAUGCGACAAACAUAAUUUCUAGUUCUGGACUAGCUGCAGCAGUUAUAACAACAAUAGGGGAGGAACAUUUGGC
This 518-nucleotide long non-coding RNA is filed under the name Vitis vinifera (wine grape). RNAcentral's name for it is "long non-coding RNA (VVIN_LNC005551)". The record is from RNAcentral. Lineage: Eukaryota; Viridiplantae; Streptophyta; Magnoliopsida; Vitales; Vitaceae.